RNAcentral lists this ribosomal RNA (254 nucleotides) under uncultured bacterium. Its description in RNAcentral is "partial 16S ribosomal RNA". It matches the Rfam family "Bacterial small subunit ribosomal RNA", at positions 524 to 776 of the family's 1533-position model. The record is from RNAcentral.
UACGUAGGGCGCAAGCGUUAUCCGGAAUUAUUGGGCGUAAAGAGCUCGUAGGCGGUUUGUCGCGUCUGCCGUGAAAGUCCGGGGCUCAACUCCGGAUCUGCGGUGGGUACGGGCAGACUAGAGUGCAGUAGGGGAGACUGGAAUUCCUGGUGUAGCGGUGGAAAUGCGCAGAUAUCAGGAAGAACACCCGUGGCGAAGGCGGCUCUCUGGAACGCAACUGACGCUGAGACGCGAAAGCGUGGGGAGCAAACAGG